CAGCCGCCGCGGGAACACGUAGGGUGCAAGCGUUAAUCGGAAUUACUGGGCGUAAAGCGUGCGCAGGCGGUUCGUUAAGACAGAUGUGAAAUCCCCGGGCUUAACCUGGGAACUGCAUUUGUGACUGGCGGGCUAGAGUAUGGCAGAGGGGGGUAGAAUUCCACGUGUAGCAGUGAAAUGCGUAGAGAUGUGGAGGAACACCGAUGGCGAAGGCAGCCCCCUGGGCCAAUACUGACGCCCAUGCACGAAAGCGUGGGGAGCAAACAGGAUUAGAUACCCGUGUAGUCCCUGUCUCUUAUAC
RNAcentral lists this ribosomal RNA (301 nucleotides) under uncultured bacterium. RNAcentral describes it as "partial 16S ribosomal RNA". It matches the Rfam family "Bacterial small subunit ribosomal RNA", at positions 509 to 807 of the family's 1533-position model. The record is from RNAcentral.